AACGCGAAGAACCUUACCUGGGCUCGAACGGCUUAAGCACAACUGUGGAAACACGGUCUUCCCGCAAGGGACUUGAGUCGAGGUGCUGCAUGGCUGUCGUCAGCUCGUGUCGUGAGAUGUUGGGUUAAGUCCCGCAACGAGCGCAACCCUUGUCCUGUGUUGCCACUCCCGCAAGGGAAGCACUCUCAGGAGACCGCCAGCGAUAAGUUGGAGGAAGGUGGGGAUGAUGUCAAGUCAUCAUGGCCUUUAUGUCCAGGGCUACACACGUGCUACAAUGGGCGGUACAAAGCGCUGCAAACCCGCGAGGGGGAGCUAAUCGCAAAAAACCGUCCUCAGUUCGGAUCGCAGGCUGCAACUCGCCUGCGUGAAGCUGGAAUCGCUAGUAAUGGCGUAUCAGAACGACGCCGUGAAUACGUUCCCGGGCCUUGUA
This 430-nucleotide ribosomal RNA is filed under the name uncultured Acidobacterium sp. RNAcentral's name for it is "bacterial SSU rRNA". It matches the Rfam family "Bacterial small subunit ribosomal RNA", at positions 958 to 1385 of the family's 1533-position model. The record is from RNAcentral. Lineage: Bacteria; Pseudomonadati; Acidobacteriota; Terriglobia; Terriglobales; Acidobacteriaceae.